CGCCGCGCUUGUUCUUCGCUGUUUGCGAGCGUCGCAGAGCUUACGUGGACGUGUGAGAGAGUAAUUUGGAAGGCUUUUCGCAGCCCUGAACCGGUAGCUCACUGGUGGGAAGUCUGAGAAGGUUUUCGAACCUAAUUGAAUGUAAUUAGUGAUCUUGGGGAUUAGUGUAGAAGGUGUUUUAACCCGAGGAAAGCAAGAAUUUCAGCGAUAGCGCUUUUGACCUUGGGAUCAUCUUCUGUUGGCAUUGGAGUGUCAUUAGGGGCUUAACUUGAGCAGGAUUGCAGCCUUGUUGAGCUUUAUAUUGGGACUUUUUGUGGCUGAUUGGAGCUUCAUAAUAGAGCCAUCUACAGGAGAGGCUAGGGA
Molecule: long non-coding RNA, 363 nt
Organism: Ananas comosus (pineapple)
Lineage: Eukaryota; Viridiplantae; Streptophyta; Magnoliopsida; Poales; Bromeliaceae
Exons: 5
Source: RefSeq, a predicted model, not a curated record